UGGGGGAUAUUGCACAAUGGAGGAAACUCUGAUGCAGCAACGCCGCGUGAGGGAAGAAGGUCUUCGGAUUGUAAACCUUUGUCCUUGGUGACGAUAAUGACGGUAGCCAAGGAGGAAGCUCCGGCUAACUACGUGCCAGCAGCCGCGGUAAUACGUAGGGGGCAAGCGUUAUCCGGAUUUACUGGGUGUAAAGGGAGCGUAGGUGGUGAGGCAAGUCAGAUGUGAAAACCCGGGGCUCAACCCCGGGACUGCAUUUGAAACUGUGGAGCUUGAGUGAAGUAGAGGCAGACGGAAUUCCCGGUGUAGCGGUGAAAUGCGUAGAGAUCGGGAGGAACACCAGUGGCGAAGGCGGUCUGCUGGGCUUUAACUGACGCUGAGGCACGAAAGCAUGGGUAGCAAACAGG
RNAcentral lists this ribosomal RNA (404 nucleotides) under uncultured prokaryote. RNAcentral describes it as "bacterial SSU rRNA". It matches the Rfam family "Bacterial small subunit ribosomal RNA", at positions 355 to 776 of the family's 1533-position model. The record is from RNAcentral. RNAcentral also lists the same sequence under 1 other name.